UUAAAAACGUUUAAUCAUUUUUAUUGGAACGAUACAGAGAAGAUUAGCAUGGCCCCUGCGCAAGGAUGACAAGCAAAUUCGUGAAGCGUUCCAUAUUUUU
Molecule: small nuclear RNA, 100 nt
Filed under: Leptobrachium leishanense (Leishan spiny toad)
Lineage: Eukaryota; Metazoa; Chordata; Amphibia; Anura; Megophryidae
Source: RNAcentral